RNAcentral lists this ribosomal RNA (699 nucleotides) under uncultured bacterium. RNAcentral's name for it is "bacterial SSU rRNA". It matches the Rfam family "Bacterial small subunit ribosomal RNA", at positions 60 to 766 of the family's 1533-position model. The record is from RNAcentral.
AGUCGAGCGGGGUUUUCGGACCUAGCGGCGGACGGGUGAGUAAUGCGUAGGAAGCUGCCCGAUAGAGGGGGAUACCAGUUGGAAACGACUGUUAAUACCGCAUAAUGUCUACGGACCAAAGUGUGGGACCUUCGGGCCACAUGCUAUCGGAUGCGCCUACGUGGAAUUAGCUAGUUGGUGAGGUAAUGGCUCACCAAGGCGACGAUCUCUAGCUGGUUUGAGAGGAUGAUCAGCCACACUGGAACUGAGACACGGUCCAGACUCCUACGGGAGGCAGCAGUGAGGAAUAUUGGACAAUGGGCGCAAGCCUGAUCCAGCCAUGCCGCGUGUGUGAAGAAGGCCUUCGGGUUGUAAAGCACUUUCAGCGAGGAGGAAGGGAUGUAUGUUAAUAGCAUGCAUUUUUGACGUUACUCGCAGAAGAAGCACCGGCUAACUCUGUGCCAGCAGCCGCGGUAAUACAGAGGGUGCAAGCGUUAAUCGGAAUUACUGGGCGUAAAGCGCACGUAGGCGGUUGGUUAAGUUGGAUGUGAAAGCCCCGGGCUCAACCUGGGAAUUGCAUUCAAAACUGGCCAACUAGAAUACGGGAGAGGGGGGUAGAAUUCCAAGUGUAGCGGUGAAAUGCGUAGAGAUUUGGAGGAAUACCAGUGGCGAAAGCGGCCCCCUGGCCCGAUAUUGACGCUGAGGUGCGAAAGCGUGGGG